RNAcentral lists this ribosomal RNA (535 nucleotides) under uncultured bacterium. RNAcentral describes it as "bacterial SSU rRNA". It matches the Rfam family "Bacterial small subunit ribosomal RNA", at positions 997 to 1529 of the family's 1533-position model. The record is from RNAcentral.
ACUCUAGAGAUAGAGUCUUCCCCUUCGGGGGACAAAGUGACAGGUGGUGCAUGGUUGUCGUCAGCUCGUGUCGUGAGAUGUUGGGUUAAGUCCCGCAACGAGCGCAACCCUUAAGCUUAGUUGCCAGCAUUAAGUUGGGCACUCUAAGUUGACUGCCGGUGACAAACCGGAGGAAGGUGGGGAUGACGUCAAAUCAUCAUGCCCCUUAUGAUUUGGGCUACACACGUGCUACAAUGGACAAUACAAAGGGCAGCUAAACCGCGAGGUCAUGCAAAUCCCAUAAAGUUGUUCUCAGUUCGGAUUGUAGUCUGCAACUCGACUACAUGAAGCUGGAAUCGCUAGUAAUCGUAGAUCAGCAUGUUACGGUGAAUACGUUCCCGGGUCUUGUACACACCGCCCGUCACACCACGAGAGUCUGUAACACCCGAAGCCGGUGGAGUAACCAUUUAUGGAGCUAGCCGUCGAAGGUGGGACAAAUGAUUGGGGUGAAGUCGUAACAAGGUAGCCGUAUCGGAAGGUGCGGUUGGAUCACCUC